CUUCCUGCGCCUUAUCUUCUCAAUCUGCUUCUCUCCACCGCACCCCAAAACUGAAACUCGAAACUAAAAAAAAAAAAAAAAAACCCAGAAGAAAUCACUUAAACCAAUGCUCUUAAUUCCAACCCCUUUCUCCAUCGUUUUCGUCUCUCCACAAAAUCACCAAGUUCUCCAAUAAACCCUAUUCUAAAUCUGUAACCACAUACUUGAGCAAAGAGGAAGAAAUCCAUUCUUCUUGAACCAUUUUCUUCUUUUCAUCUUUGCUGUUAAGGGAUUUUGAUUUCAGGGUUUGUUGUUGAGGUUUUUCUCCUUUUAUGCAGCAAAGAGGGUUCACUGUUAUAGUAUUUCUUCGUCUCUACAGCAAAAAGGGGUAGCUGUGAAGGUCUUUUUCCAUCUCGUACAAAAAGGGUACAACCAAUGCAAUUUUUUCUUUCAUCAUGACUAUAUGUUAAUUUGAUAAAAAGUCAGUUGAAAAAACAGUUGUUCCUACAAAUAUAAGGAUUAAGACAUGUACAAUCAUGUGAAUGAUGGUUCUUUACUGAAGGCUCCUCUUAUUUCCAAUGAUGUUUAUGAGAUAAUUAUGAAGGUGAUAGUCUAAUGAGGCUUGUAUUUGAUUCUUUUGUCAAUUUAAUAUAGUCUAUAUGGUUUAUGUUCAUUCGAUUUAUAUGUAUAAGUAUGGUUAGAAGUGAAUUAAAAUUUUGUUCUUCUCUAUA
This is a long non-coding RNA of Papaver somniferum (opium poppy), 710 nucleotides long. RefSeq lists it as uncharacterized. The transcript is spliced from 5 exons. The record is from RefSeq and is a predicted model, not a curated record. NCBI's taxonomy places the organism in Eukaryota, Viridiplantae, Streptophyta, Magnoliopsida, Ranunculales, Papaveraceae.